UAUUUAAACUAGGGAUAGACCGAUUAUUGGCCCUGGACGACUAUCGGGCCGUUUUUUAGCAGUUUGCAGAUUAUCUAUAUCAGCGUUUUAUUUGCCUGAUAACCGAUAAAGU
This is a long non-coding RNA of Sander lucioperca (pikeperch), 112 nucleotides long. RefSeq lists it as uncharacterized. Lineage: Eukaryota; Metazoa; Chordata; Actinopteri; Perciformes; Percidae. The transcript has 3 exons. The record is from RefSeq and is a predicted model, not a curated record.